This is a long non-coding RNA of Entelurus aequoreus (snake pipefish), 482 nucleotides long. RefSeq lists it as uncharacterized. The record is from RefSeq and is a predicted model, not a curated record. NCBI's taxonomy places the organism in Eukaryota, Metazoa, Chordata, Actinopteri, Syngnathiformes, Syngnathidae. The transcript is spliced from 3 exons.
GCACGGUGGAACAAGACGGUCCUGGGUUCGAUCCCCGGGCUUUGGAUCUCUUCUGUGUGGAGUUUGCAUGUUCUCCCCGUGACUGCAUGAGUUCCCUCCUGGUACUCCGGCUUCCUCCCACCCUCAAAGACAUGCACCGGGGGAUAAGUUGAUUGGCAACACUAAAUGGACCCUAGUAUGUGAAUGUGAGUGUGGAUGUUGUCUAUCUGUGUUGGCCCUGCGAUGAGGUGGUGACUUGUCCAGGGUGUACACCGCCUUCCACCUAAGUGCAGCUGGGAUAUGCUCCAGCAGCCCUCCCGACCCCGAAAGGGACAAGCGGUAGGAUGGAUGGAUGUUCACUGUGUUGGAUAAAACAAAUGUAAAGCUGCAGCACACGGCAUCGAAACGGACACCGGAAAGUCUCGGCAUGUGUUGACUGGAAGGUGGAGAUGACUCUUAGCGUACCAAAGAAGAAGACAGUGUUGCUCCAAAGACCAGAGGAG